This 445-nucleotide ribosomal RNA is filed under the name uncultured bacterium. RNAcentral describes it as "bacterial SSU rRNA". It matches the Rfam family "Bacterial small subunit ribosomal RNA", at positions 355 to 796 of the family's 1533-position model. The record is from RNAcentral.
UGAGGAAUCUUGGACAAUGGGGGCAACCCUGAUCCAGCGACGCCGCGUGGAGGACGAAGGUCUUCGGAUUGUAAACUCCUUUUGUUCGGGAAUAAAAAAUCUGUGGAAACACGGAGAAUGAAUGUACCGGAUGAAUAAGCCACGGCUAACUUCGUGCCAGCAGCCGCGGUAAUACGAAGGUGGCAAGCGUUACUCGGAAUUACUAGGCGUAAAGGGCAGGUAGGUGGUUCGGUAAGUCUGUUGUGUAAGCUCCCGGCUUAACUGGGAGAGGUCAACAGAAACUACCAGACUUGAGUAUAGGAGAGGGUACUGGAAUUCCCGGUGUAGCGGUGAAAUGCGCAGAGAUCGGGAGGAACACCAAUGGCGAAAGCAGGUACCUGGACUAUUACUGACACUAAGCUGCGAAAGCUAGGGGAGCAAACAGGAUUAGAUACCCCCGUAGUCC